AGCGAACGCUGGCGGCCGGCCUAACACAUGCAAGUCGAACGGCAGUACCGUAUGAAUUUGUUCUUACGGAUGGGGAGUGGUGGACGGAUGAGGACAACACCGUAACCUUCUUUUUCGUGGGGGAUAACGCAGGUCACAUUACUACAACAUCGGAUCUGACCCUCCAGUGUGAGCAGGGGAUCUUCACACCUUUCGCGAUUGACUGAGCUGAUGUCGGAUUUGUUAGUUGGCGGGGUGAUGGCCAACCAAGUCGCCGAUCCGUAGCUGGACUGAGAGGCUGAUCAGCCACACUGGAACUGAGACACGGUCCAGACUCCUACGGGACGCAGCAGAGGGGAAUAUUGGCCAAUAGGCGGAGGCCUGACCCAGCCGUACCGAGUGGGUGAAAAAGGCCUCCGGGGUGUAAUGACCUUUUGUUGGGUAAGAAACGCAGCAGGUUAAUACCCAGCUGGUCUGACGGUACCCAAAGAAUAAGCACCGGCUAACUUCGUG
RNAcentral lists this ribosomal RNA (492 nucleotides) under uncultured bacterium. Its description in RNAcentral is "partial 16S ribosomal RNA". It matches the Rfam family "Bacterial small subunit ribosomal RNA", at positions 29 to 507 of the family's 1533-position model. The record is from RNAcentral.